UACGGAGGGUGCAAGCGUUAUCCGGAUUCAUUGGGUUUAAAGGGUGCGUAGGCGGCUUUUUAAGUCAGCGGUGAAAUACUUCAGCUCAACUGGAGAACUGCCGUUGAUACUGGAAGGCUUGAGUACUGAUGAAGUGGGCAGAAUUGAAGGUGUAGCGGUGAAAUGCAUAGAUAUCUUCAAGAAUACCGAUUGCGAAGGCAGCUCACUAAGGAGUAACUGACGCUGAGGCACGAAAGCGUGGGUAGCAAACAGG
RNAcentral lists this ribosomal RNA (253 nucleotides) under uncultured bacterium. Its description in RNAcentral is "partial 16S ribosomal RNA". It matches the Rfam family "Bacterial small subunit ribosomal RNA", at positions 524 to 776 of the family's 1533-position model. The record is from RNAcentral.